RNA transcript from Lutra lutra (Eurasian river otter), 960 nucleotides. It is a transcript of the gene named trafficking protein particle complex subunit 6A, with no coding region annotated. NCBI's taxonomy places the organism in Eukaryota, Metazoa, Chordata, Mammalia, Carnivora, Mustelidae. The transcript has 6 exons. The record is from RefSeq and is a predicted model, not a curated record.
GAAACACCAAUGGACGCGGGGGUGGGCGGGCUCGCACCUGGUGCAGGAGGCGGGGCUUGCCCAGCCAGGCCAAUGAGAGCGCGAAGCGCUGGACGGUCGUUGGGCGCGAGGUCGGCGCAUGGCGGACGCGGCGCUGUUCGAGUUUCUGCAUACCGAGAUGGUGGCGGAGCUGUGGGCGCACCACUCCGACCCUGGCCCUGGGGUCUCCUGUCUGAACCGAAUGCAGGCCUCCUUGUUGGGUACUUCUGGUGUCCCCAGCACCGUAUUCUGUUGGAUUCAGUCCUCAGAACGGACUUGCAAGGGACAGAAGAUGAGCCUGUGUGUCCUAGAGGGCAUGGGCUUCCGUGUGGGCCAGGCCCUGGGAGAGAGCAUCGGCCGGGCCCAAGCAGCUGCCCUGCCCUCCAGGCUUGCCCCAGGACACGCUGGCCUUCAGGGAGGAGCUGGACGUCCUCAAGUUCCUGUGCAAAGACCUGUGGGUGGCUGUGUUCCGAAAGCAGAUGGACAGCCUCCGUACCAAUCACCAGGGGACCUACGUCCUACAGGAUAACAGCUUCCCCCUCCUCACCCGGAUGGCCUCAGGCCUGCAGUAUCUGGAGGAAGCACCCAAGGUAAGUUCCAGGUGGUGAUCCAGAAAACCUGAGGAGCGCCCCCGCUGCCAGCCCACUCCGCUGAGCCUCACAGCCCCCGCUGGCCCGGGGACCUCGGAGCCCCACCUUUGGGGGUGGCCAGAGGGCUCGCGCUGGGGACCCCGGGCUCUAGGGUGAUGGACAAGUGGGAGGGGGGAUGGUGCAGUGGGGCCAACCGCUCUAGGGUAUCACAUGUGCUCCCCAGGCGGGUAUCACAGAGAGGUCGGGGUGUCCUGGGAACGAGGUGGCCCAGGUUGGGCCAGUGUGAAGGGAUCCCUACGUUGGGCCCCUUGCUCUGCAUGGCAGCUGUCCAGUAAAGGUUCUGUGUGUGGAA